RNAcentral lists this long non-coding RNA (4531 nucleotides) under Pelobates cultripes (western spadefoot toad). The record is from RNAcentral. Lineage: Eukaryota; Metazoa; Chordata; Amphibia; Anura; Pelobatidae.
UCAUGGCGCCGCAAUGCCUGACGUCACUUCCGCUUUCCCACCGCGUGACGUCAUCCGGUGUGCGCCCAGUGCAGAGCUGGCUGAGUGUGAGUGAGCGGAGGGUGAGUCCGGGGUUCAUUGUGUUUAUUGGGAUAUUCCUGGAUCCAGAGCGAAAAUAAUAAUAAUAAUAAUAAUCAGCCAAUUACAUUAUAAUAAUAAUAAUAUCAAUAAUCAGCCAAUUACAUUAUAAUAAUAAUAAUAAUAAUAUCACUAAUCAGCCAAUUACAUUAUAAUAAUAAUAAUAUCAAUAAUCAGCCAAUUACAUUAUAAUAAUAAUAAUAAUAAUAAUAAUCAGCCAAUUACAUUAUAAUAAUAAUAAUAAUAAUAUCACUAAUCAGCCAAUUACAUUAUAAUAAUAAUAAUAUCACUAAUCAGCCAAUUAAAUUAUAAUAAUAAUAAUAAUAAUAAUAAUAAUAAUAAUAAUAAUCAGCCAAUUACAUUAUAAUAAUAAUAAUAAUAAUAAUCAGCCAAUUACAUUAUAAUAAUAAUAAUAUCGCUAAUCAGCCAAUUACAUUAUAAUAUUAAUAAUAUCACUAAUCAGCCAAUUAAAUUAUAAUAAUAAUAAUAAUAAUAAUCAGCCAAUUACAUUAUAAUAAUAAUAAUAAUAAUCAGCCAAUUACAUUAUAAUAAUAAUAAUAUCGCUAAUCAGCCAAUUACAUUAUAAUAAUAAUAAUAUCAAUAAUCAGCCAAUUACAUUAUAAUAAUAAUAAUAAUAAUAAUAAUAAUCAGCCAAUUACAUUAUAAUAAUAAUAAUAAUAAUAUCACUAAUCAGCCAAUUACAUUAUAAUAAUAAUAAUAUCACUAAUUAAAUUAUAAUAAUAAUAAUAAUAAUAAUAAUAAUAAUAAUCAGCCAAUUACAUUAUAAUAAUAAUAAUAAUAAUCAGCCAAUUACAUUAUAAUAAUAAUAAUAUCGCUAAUCAGCCAAUUACAUUAUAAUAUUAAUAAUAUCACUAAUCAGCCAAUUAAAUUAUAAUAAUAAUAAUAAUAAUCAGCCAAUUACAUUAUAAUAAUAAUAAUAAUAAUCAGCCAAUUACAUUAUAAUAAUAAUAAUAUCGCUAAUCAGCCAAUUACAUUAUAAUAAUAAUAAUAUCACUAAUCAGCCAAUUAAAUAAUAAUAAUAAUAAUAAUAAUAAUCAGCCAAUUACAUUAUAAUAAUAAUAAUAAUAAUCAGCCAAUUACAUUAUAAUAAUAAUAAUAUCGCUAAUCAGCCAAUUACAUUAUAAUAAUAAUAAUAAUAAUCAGCCAAUUACAUUAUAAUAAUAAUAAUAAUAAUAUCACUAAUCAGCCAAUUACAUUAUAAUAAUAAUAAUAUCACUAAUCAGCCAAUUAAAUUAUAAUAAUAAUAAUAAUAAUAAUAAUAAUAAUAAUAAUAAUCAGCCAAUUACAUUAUAAUAAUAAUAAUAAUAAUAAUCAGCCAAUUACAUUAUAAUAAUAAUAAUAUCGCUAAUCAGCCAAUUACAUUAUAAUAUUAAUAAUAUCACUAAUCAGCCAAUUACAUUAUAAUAAUAAUAAUAUCACUAAUCAGCCAAUUACAUUAUAAUAAUAACAAUAAUAUCACUAAUCAGCCAAUUACAUUAUAAUAAUAAUAAUAAUAAUAUCACUAAUCAGCCAAUUACAUUAUAAUAUUAAUAAUAAUAUCACUAAUCAGCCAAUUACAUUAUAAUAUUAAUAAUAUCACUAAUCAGCCAAUUACAUUAUAAUAUUAAUAAUAUCACUAAUUAGCCAAUUACAUUAUAAUAACAAUAAUAAUAAUAUCACUAAUCAGCCAAUUACAUUAUAAUAAUAAUAAUAAUAAUAUCACUAACCAGCCAAUUACAUUAUAAUAAUAAUAAUAAUAUCACUAAUCAGCCAAUUACAUUAUACUAUUAAUAAUAUCACUAAUCAGCCAAUUAAAUUAUAAUAACAAUAAUAAUAAUAUCACUAACCAGCUAAUUACAUUAUAAUAAUAAUAUUAUCACUAAGCAGUCAAUUACAUUAUAAUAUUAAUAAUAUCACUAAUCAGCCAAUUACAUUAUAAUAAUAUUAAUAAUAUCACUAAUCAGCCAAUUACAUUAUAAUAAUAAUAAUAAUAUCACUAAUCAGCCAAUUACAUAAUAAUAAUAUCACUAAUCAGCCAAUUACAUUAUAAUAUUAAUAAUAUCACUAAUCAGCCAAUUACAUUAUAAUAAUAAUAAUAUCACUAAUCAGCCAAUUACAUUAUAAUAUUAAUGAUUUCACUAAUUAGCCAAUUACAUUAUAAUAUUAAUAAUAUCACUAAUCAGCCAAUUACAUUAUAAUAAUAUUAAGAUCACUAACCAGCCAAUUACAUUAUAAUAAUAAUAAUAUUAUCACUAAUCAGUGAAUUACAUUAUAAUAUUAAUAAUAUCACUAAUCAGCCAAUUACAUUAUAAUAUUAAUAAUAUCACUAACCAGCCAAUUACAUUAUAAUAAUAUUAAUAUCACUAACCAGCCAAUUACAUUAUAAUAAUAAUAAUAAUAAUAUCACUAAUCAGUCAAUUACAUUAUAAUAUUAAUAAUAUCACUAAUACGCCAAUUACAUUAUAAUAAUAAUAAUAAUAUCACUAAUUAGCCAAUUACAUUAUAAUAUUAAUAAUAUCACUAAUCAGCCAAUUACAUUAUAAUAAUAUUAAUAUCACUAACCAGCCAAUUACAUUAUAAUAAUAAUAAUAUUAUCACUAAGCAGUCAAUUACAUUAUAAUAUUAAUAAUAUCACUAAUCAGCCAAUUACAUUAUAAUAAUAAUAAUAUUAUCACUAAUCAGUCAAUUACAUUAUAAUAUUAAUAAUAUCACUAACCAGCCAAUUACAUUAUAAUAAUAAUAAUAAUAUCACUAAUCAGUCAAUUACAUUAUAAUAUUAAUAAUAUCACUUAACAGCCAAUUACAUUAUAAUAAUAAUAAUAUCACUAAUCAGCCAAUUACAUUAUAAUAUUAAUAAUAUCACUAAUCAGCCAAUUACAUUAUAAUAAUAAUAAUAAUAAUAAUAAUAAUACUAAUCAGCCAAUUACAUUAUAAUAUUAAUAAUAUCACUAAUCAGCCAAUAACAUUAUAAUAUUAAUAAUAUCACUAAUCAGCCAAUUACAUUAUAAUAAUAAUAUCACUAAUAAUAAUAAUAAUCGGGGGGGACAUGGAGAGAGAGAGAGAGAGAGAGGGGAACAUGGAGAAAGAGAGAAGAUGAUGGGGGAACAUGAGCAGAGAGGGAACUUGAUUAUGUGGCAGACUGUUGUGAUUGAUCUUGUGAUGUAUGCAUGUUAAUGUGAGUGCAGCCAUCUUGGUUUCAUAUAUAUAUAUAUAUAUAUAUAUAUAUAUACACACACAUAUACAUAUCUUAUUUACAUAUAAUCUAGUCACACAAAUCACUUGCACAGUCCUGUAUACCACUCCUAUGUCCAGUCUUUUAUAUUUGAUCCUCAAUAUACUUCUCUAUUUUAGGUUAUCUCUAUUCUCCAAGCUUUGGUAAGCACUAUCAGUGCAUUUGUCUCACGGCCCUCACCACUGUACACUUGUUACCUAGCAACCAUUCCCUCGACACACCACGUCGUCACGUGACCUUCUGUGAUCACUUCUGGGUCAGCACUGUACGGGAGAGGUUCGCUUACUAUUUGUAAGUACACCUUACACUUUUUCUAUACAGUUGCAAGAAAAAGUAUGUGAACACUUUGGAAUGAUAUGGAUUUCUGCACAAAUUGGUCAUAAAAUGUGAUCUCAUCAUCAUCUAAGUCACAACAAUAGACAAUCACAGUCUGCUUAAACUAAUAACACACAAAGAAUGAAAUGUUGCCAUGUUUUUAUUGAACACACUAUGUAAACAUUCACAGUGUAGGUGGAAAAAGUAUGUGAACCCCUAGACUAAUGACAUAUCCAAGAGCUAAUUGGAGUUAGAUGUCAGCCAACUGGAGUCCAAUCAAUGAGAUGAGAUUGGAGGUGUUGGUUACAGCUGGCCUGCCCUAUAAAAACACACACCAUUUCUGGGUUUGCUUUCCACAAGAAGCAUUGCCUGAUGUGAAUGAUGCCUCACACAAAAGAGCUCUCAGAAGACCUACGAUUAAGAAUUGUUGACUUGCAUGAAGCUGGAAAGGGUUAUAAAAGUAUCUCCAAAAGACUUGCUGUUCAUCAGUCCACGGUAAGACAAAUUGUCAAUAAAUGGAGAAAGUUCAGCACUGCUGCUACUCUCCCUAGGAGUGGCCGUACUGUAAAGAUGACUGCAAGAGCACAGCGCAGACUGCUCAGUGAGGUGAAGAAGAAUCCUAGAGUGUCAGCUAAAGACUUACAAAAGUCACUGGCAACUUGCCUGUUAGCGAAUCUACAAUAUGUAAAACACUAAAUGGCUUUCAUGGGAAGAUACCACAGAGGAAGCCACUGCUGUCCAGACAAAACAUUGCUGCACGUUUACAGUUUGCACAAGAGCACCUGGAUGUUCCACAGCAGUACUGGCAAAAUAUUCUGUGGACAGAUGAAACCAAAGUUGAGUUGUUUGAAAGAAACACACAACACU